Molecule: long non-coding RNA, 298 nt
Filed under: Bos taurus (domestic cattle)
Lineage: Eukaryota; Metazoa; Chordata; Mammalia; Artiodactyla; Bovidae
Description: long non-coding RNA NONBTAT022031
Source: RNAcentral
AAACAUUUUUAUUAGACAAAUUAUUUAGACAAAUUAUACACAGAAAGCUCUGUCACUCAUAACUGAGGCCUUCAAAAAGUGGUUUGUGUAUUUGUAUAAUAGGCAAUACAUCAAAAUAGGCCUAUUUUAAAUAUUGUACAUGGUUAACAGUUUGUUGAUAGCUAAAAUCACUGCAACAUCUGGUAUGUCCCUAUAUAGCUUGUUGUAAAGGUUUUUUGUUUUAAAAUCAGAGUCGUGAAUGAGAUCAUGGAUGUUACAAGGGAAAACAAGUUGUGCAUGCACUUAGAUACUUGUUACC